This is an RNA transcript of Triticum aestivum (bread wheat), 2859 nucleotides long. RefSeq lists it as uncharacterized. The transcript is spliced from 10 exons. The record is from RefSeq and is a predicted model, not a curated record. NCBI's taxonomy places the organism in Eukaryota, Viridiplantae, Streptophyta, Magnoliopsida, Poales, Poaceae.
UGAUCCACUUCCCUCUCUUCUAGCUCUGUUCGUUCCCCAAAUCCAGCGGUAAGAGGCAACCGCUGUCGCGACGCAGACGAAGACAGGGGGCAGGGAAGGGGAAGGGCUGGAGCGCGGCGGGGAUCCGCUUCUUGUCGCCGGCGCAGGUUCCACAGCAGAGUAAACUUCCUCAAAUAGAUUUGAGAAGAAGCAUCAUAAUGGAUAAAAUAUUCAGCAUCGUCCCUCAGCUGCAAGAUAGCAUGAGCCAGACUGUCGAGCCUGACUGCUCAUUUUUCCUUGUUGUUCUGCUGCUGAGACUACCGGUCUCAUGUUACUAAAAUCCCAAUAAAUCAAACACCCAGCAUGAAAAGCAAAGGUGUCUCCUGAUGCUUUUUACUUCUAAAGAUGGCUCCUCGAGAUAGCCUGGAUACUUGUAGUCUGUCCUCCUUCGAUUGGCACCCAACUAGGCCCGUCCCAUGAGCUGAUGGCCUUGCUGCUUGGGCUCCUGCUGGUGGAAAUUGGGUCGCUGGCAUUCUAUGCAUAUAAGUGACCACUUGACUAGUUUCUUGUAAUAGUUGCAUAGAAACGCAAAUGUAGUUGGAUCAAAUAUAUACAUAUCUCAGUUGGCUAGACAACUUAAGAAGUUGCACAGUGAGGGCUAAUCCGUUGCACAAUCGAUGGUAUUCAAAUGGAUAUUAUGUAAACUAUGUUCAAGCAGUGUGUGCUUUUUGGUUGCACAGUCACGUGUGCUUUGUUGUCAAGGGUAUGUGUUCAUGCAAGAGUUUGCAGAUCAAAGCAGUAUAUAUCCUAGUCCGCUGCGCUUAGUCACACUUUGUAGAGGGAAGGUAUAUGUACUUGCAAGGUUGGCGGCUAGUUUAGUUUUGGCUCCAGUGCCUGAAUCAUGUUCAGGCAGUGUGUAUGCUGAUUUUUUGGCUGCACACUCAUGUGUGCCCUGUUGGCCAUAAAGUGCAUCAAGUUGCACACAUUUUGUUUUAUUUUGUAGGUGUGCUUUGAAAAAUCAGCAUUAGUUGUUUACUUCAUGGCAACUUUUUUUAUAUCAAUUGUUUUUGCUCAUUUUUUCUUUUAUACAUUUGGUUUGGUUGCUUCGACUAAUUUGCUUGUAUACAUUUUUUUCACAGACCAAAAAUGGUUGUAGAAGGAGAUGCGAUUCCAAGUGAAGGAGAGGGGUCUACAAACCAUUCUUCUCGGCGAAACUCGAAACGGCCGCCGAGCGGUAGCCGUGUCGUGCUGAUAUCGACGGGGAGGCAGAGGAUGAUGAGGUCGGUGAUCAAUUCCACUUUGUGAAACGGCAAAAAUGGAAGGCGACCAUGCAUGUGGAAGUUGUAGCUGGAGCUGGCACAUCAUAGACCAAAAUGGCUAGAGAAGGAGAUGUGCCUGACAAUGAAACAGAGGGUUAUGCAAAUCCCAUCUCACGACGGAACUCAAAAAGGGCUGCUAAGCGGCAGCCGCAUGGCGAUGAUAAGGACGGGGAUGAAGAGGGUGACGAUGGUGUCGAAAGAUUCCUCUUAGUAAAACUGCAGAGAAGAAAGGUGCGCACGGAGGCAGUAUCCAAAGGGAUAGAUGCCACAUCUUCUGCAGCAGUCGCUGAGCUACUUUUGCAAGGAGAAAUUUGGUUAGGGGGGAAAGGGGAAGUCAAGGAGGAAGGAUCUGAACAGGAGGAGAAAGGAUCACCUCCUUUUCACCCUUGUUGGUGCUGCCUGGUAUUUUCUGAUAUCUCUGGCGAUGGAGAUCCAGACCUGGGAACCCCUUGUUCAUCAGGGAAGAAGGUGGGGGCUUGGGGAAAAGAAGUUGGUGGCCAGGAGGGUGUGAGAGCUUCUGAAGGGGAUGGGAGGGCAUGUGAUGGCCCGAGGACUGCGUCCAGUGUGUGGUUUGUUGAGUUGGCAUGCAUCUGCUGCUACCGGUGGAGGGCUUUCCUUUUCUGGGAUCGAUGGGGACCGAAUCUUUUCUUUUCUGGGGGCCGCUCGGGACCGCUAGGGAGCGGCCGGCCGCUCCCUAGAUGCGUCCUAGAGGAAUACGGGAAAGUGUUUUUUCAGCCAAGAUUGAAGGGUUACGGGGAAACUAAACUGGUUUCCUUGCCUGUUGGCUUUGCUGGGCGAUGCUAGCCUUGCCGAUGCAGGCUAGCCAAAUUGGCUCGCCCGCUUGAUGGAAGGAAAAGCUGGAAACCACAGGCAACGAGGUACGAUCGCCCACGAACCAAAUAAUUGGCUUCCUUGCUAGGCUGGGCAAGGCAAGCGCUUGCCAAGGAACCAAACAGACCUGGCAUGGGUGGGUAGUUUUUUUUGAUUUAAUGGUUGAGAUUUUCUAAUCUAACAAAUAGAUGGUUGGAUGUUUAUAAUUUUUGUGGCUUAAUUUAGAGAGAGAGGAUAUGGAACAGAUCGAGGUUUUAUUUUCUUUUCACGUGCGUGAGCGAAGGUCUUUGGUUUUUUUUACAUGGUGAGAUAACUUAUUAAGGGCAUUGGUGGGGAAUUUUCAUUCUUUUCAAUCCAUUGGUUGUGCUGGCCUAAUCGAUUUCAAUUGACGGCUAGAUGUUUCUAAUUAUUGUGAAAUUUUCUAGGUAAUUCUCUUUUUUCUGGUUACCCCGUAAAGCACUUUUUAUAUAUAAAUAGAUCCCUCUCCAGACAUCGGCCUUGCGGGCGACGGACACUCCACCGUCAUGAGCACAUGCCUGAGUAGCGCGUUCCACACCAACGGACACCGCAUCGUCAUGAGCACAUACCCGAGGAGCGCAUCCGACACCAACGACUCUAAUCAAUUUGUCGGACUACCGGCCCUCAUCGACAAACUGACGCCGGAGGGUUCUCACCUGGUGCACAGGACGCCCGCAACAGCUAUGAAGUUUCCCGCUCGUCUCGGGAUUAU